This 1056-nucleotide long non-coding RNA is filed under the name Anser cygnoides (Swan goose). Its description in RNAcentral is "lncRNA (ENSACDG00005017418.1)". The record is from RNAcentral. Lineage: Eukaryota; Metazoa; Chordata; Aves; Anseriformes; Anatidae.
CUCUGGGUUGGAUGGACUGCUCCGUCCCGAGGUAUUCUGGGAGCUGUAGUUCUGUGUUGCCGGGCGGCCACAUGGGCUCCGGGGUGCGUGGUUGGUCUUUUCCCCGAGCCGGGGCCGGGCCGUGCACGCCGGGAGGCGCAGGUUGCCGCUGGAUGCAAGUUUAAGCUUGGAAAUAAAGGGGGAGUGAGGGAAGAAAAAAAGCAAAGCCUUACAGAGCCUCAGCUCCACCUAGGAACAAAUAACGGUCUGUCUGCUUCUGGAAGAACUUCCCACCGCUGAGGACGGAUGGGGUGGACCCCAAAAGCUAGAUGGGGUUGUGUGAGAGCUGGUGAUAGUGCCAGCAGGACUCCACAGCCGACAAGAGACAUCGUUGACUUUGAUGUCCAUCACAACGAAGAUGCCCUGGAUUUAAAGAUGUGCUAUCCCACCAGCUCCUUUAGGAGCCCAGCACCGCGUUUGGCCUGUUGCGAUCUUCCCGCUCCCCUCAUUUCUGUGCUGCAACGCCACCAUCCAGGAGAAGUCAGGUAGGAUCUGAAGACCUUUGACAUUGCUAAAGAAUCAAACCUCAGCUGUCAGUUUUAGCCCUUUGUAUUCCAGACGUUUGCUUUGCUGGAUGAUGGUUUCGUUUUUGAUUUUGUAAUACGUUCUUUGUAGAGGUUAUUUUAAACAGACAAGUAGGUAGCCUCCUUCCCUCGGUGGAUUUGUGCGAGUUUUAGCUGAGCUUUGCACAUCUGAGCGAUUGCCCAGUGGCUGUUCUGGUCUUGACACGUCCCUAAAACCUUUGUCCGCCUUGCCCCUCCUCUUUGUGUAUUAAGAUGCAUGUUUGCGCAAAAAUUAUUUACACCGUGCAUAAGCCCCCCAGUGGUUAUGGGGCAUUUUCAGCAUUUCACAGAUAAGGCUCCGUGUUUACUUAAUCACUUAGGCAUAGUCCUGACUUUCAGCGUAGGCAUAGCUAAUGAUUGUUACUCAAGUGGUUAUGAAGUUCCCAACGUUUGUUUGUUUAUAUAUAUAUAUAUAUAUAGAGAGAGAGAGAGAGAGAGAGGAGAGAUACAUACA